Long non-coding RNA from Oncorhynchus tshawytscha (Chinook salmon), 2665 nucleotides. The record is from Ensembl. NCBI's taxonomy places the organism in Eukaryota, Metazoa, Chordata, Actinopteri, Salmoniformes, Salmonidae.
GCCGUGGAAGCUUUAUUGCUGGCAAAAGUGGCCAUAAUGAAUUAAACUGUUCUGUGUUCUUUUCUCCAUCUCUGUCUGUCUUGUUGUACAUGGAACCUGUCUCUCAUGCAUUAAUUUAAAAAAACUUAAGAUGUCAGCUGCUAAUUUUCAGAUUUACACCACAUGAACACAGCCAUUUUCACUGGACUAUCUGUUGCGCUGUUGCUGCCAAGUCAUGAUUUCCAUGGUGGUGAGACACAUAGCCCUCUAUAUUUAAAUGUUUCAGGUACACUCCGAUAGGAGUCUGCGUCACAUACAGUAUCUUCUAUUGACAUUAUCUUCUAUUGUUUGUCCUCAUGUGUCUGUUUUUCAGUAUAAAGUACUCUGUAGCCACUUAGUGUGGACACCAGGUGAGACCACACACACACAAUAAGUCUCUCUUCUUCACUUCAUCCCUCUCCCCCUUCUCCCUAAAUCCUCUAGGUUAUAUCAGCUGUUUUGGUGAACCCCUCCCGCAUCUGAACUGGCUGACACUGAGGGCACAGCAUGAUCAUUUGUGAGAUGUCACUUGGUCAGGUCAACAGGAACUAUUAUUAAAGAGAUGUUUUACAUUGAAAUACAGACAGAGAUGUAGUAGUCCCAGAGUUAAUGAUCCAAGGUAUGUUUGGAUGUGAGAGAGGAAAGCCAGCCGUGUCAUCGCCACCUCACCCGCUCUUAUGAUAACCAUCGGGCCAACAGGGGGCCCAAGGCUGGUUAGGAGACACCGCAAUUGUGAUGAACUGAGAGAAUAUUAGGGUAGCACUGUAAUUCAUGAAUCAUAUGCUGUCUGCCACUGUUCUUACAUCCUUUCCCUUUCUGUCUUCUACACCUCUCUCCCCACCUCAGAGCAGGAGUGGUAAACACUGUUGACGUGUAUAAUUGUAAUACAUACAUGCAGACUUGCAGAUAUGCAAGCAGACAGUAUUUAAACUACAUACAAUAUGCCCUCAAGUUUAACUGAAGUAUUAUCAGAAACCUGUUUCAUCGUUUUCUCAGCCUCUCAUUUAGUUGAAACCGGUCAAACUGAAGACCUUUGGACAUUUCGCACAGGAACAAUCUUCCCGCUGUUUUGGAGUUGCAUUUAUUCGGUCCGUAAACUAAAUACAACUUCAUCAGUGUUAACUAGAAUACUAAUGCAUUAAUUCUAUUGAUGUAAGACAUUAUUCUGGGGAGCACUACAUUAUUUAGUCUUCUGGAUUUAGUCUUCUGCAACAAGUUAUGACGGAAGAGAACCUGCAUGUAUCUAACUACAGUUGACAAAUAAAUGGCCUACCAAAUGUCAGAUAUUAUAAGCAGAAAUGUAUCUAAAUUAGGGAUAAAUGUAGCCUAAGCCAGUAGAGUACAAGGUCCAGUACAGAGCAUCGGUGAAAGAAAUUAUUAUGGGGGAACUGCUCAGCUAGCCUACAUUCUGAAGUGAUUUGUUUGACAAUUAGAUGAAAACAUCAACACCCAUGAGUUCCGAAACUAAGCCUACUCAGACCGUGAAAAACAACUGUAAACGGGAUAAGAUGUUUACAUGCCACAGUAUCCUGUCUAAAAAUCAGCAUAUCCCAAGCAUUUUAUCCGGGUUUCUCAUAACCGGGAUUCAAGGUUUUUCGGGUUAUUGUAAACGGGAUAUGAUGUUUAUAUGUGUCAAAACAGAAUACUUGAGUAUCCCGAAUAACAAUGGGAUAUUGGAGUGCAUGUAAACGUGGUCAGUGAUGUGCAUGGGCAUAUUUUGGGGAGGUUGAGAUGCAGCUCUUCCUCAGAGUAGAAUCAACUGGACUUGUACUGUUAGUGUCGUGACCCCAUACAGUUGAUUGCAAUCCACAAUCCACAAAAGCCAAGGCUAGCUUUUUCAAGCAGAAAUUUGCUUCCUGCAACACUAACUCAAAAAAGUUCUGGGACACUGUAAAGUCCAUGGAGAAUAAGAACACCUCCUCCCAGCUGCCCACUGCACUGAAGAUAGGAAACACUGUCACCACUGAUAAAUCCACCAUAAUUGAGAAUUUCAAUAAGCAUUUUUCUACGGCUGGCCAUGCUUUCCACCUGGCUACUCCUACCCCGGUCAACAGCACUGCAACCCCAACAGCAACUCGCCCAAGCCUUCCCCAUUUCUCCUUCUCCCAAAUCCAUUCAGCUGAUGUUCUGAAAGAGCUGCAAAAUCUGGACCCCUACAAAUCAGCCGGGCUAGACAAUCUGGACCCUUUCUUUCUAAAAUUAUCUGCCGAAAUUGUUGCCACCCCUAUUACUAGCCUGUUCAACCUCUCUUUCGUGUCAUCUGAGAUUCCCAAAGAUUGGAAAGUAGCUGUGGUCAUCCCCCUCUUCAAAGGGGGGGACACUCUUGACCCAAACUGCUACAGACCUAUAUCUAUCCUACCGUGCCUUUCUAAGGUCUUCAAAGCCAAGUCAACAAACAGAUUACCGACCAUUUCGAAUCUCACCAUACCUUCUCUGCUAUGCAAUCUGGUUUCAGAGCUGGUCAUGGGUGCACCUCAGCCACGCUCAAGGUCCUAAACGAUAUCUUAACCGCCAUCGAUAAGAAACAUUACUGUGCAGCCGUAUUCAUUGAUCUGGCCAAGGCUUUCGACUCUGUCAAUCACCACAUCCUCAUCGGCAGACUCGACAGCCUUGGUUUCUCAAAUGAUUGCCUCGCCUGGUUCACCAA